Molecule: non-coding RNA, 364 nt
Organism: Lagopus leucura (white-tailed ptarmigan)
Lineage: Eukaryota; Metazoa; Chordata; Aves; Galliformes; Phasianidae
Source: the annotation of a RefSeq genome assembly
GCCUGAUGGCGGCCUCCAGACACCCAGAGGGGGACUGAUCCUCAUCUGCAAGGCCUCAGGGUCCACCAUCAGCAGUUAUUCCAUGUAUUGGGUGCGACAGGCGCCCGUCAAGGGGCUGGAAUACGUCGCCACUAUUAGCUACACUGGUAGUUACACAUACUACGGGUCGGCGGUGAAGAACCGUGCCACCAUCUCGAGGGACAACGGGCAGAGCACGGUGAGCCUGAAGCUGAACAGCCUGACGACCGACGACACCGCCACCUAUUACUGCGCGAAAAGUGCUUACGGUUGUAGUUGGGCUGGUAGCGUUAAUUACACCGGUGUCACUCCUGGAUUUGGUGGCAUCGCCCAGGGCCCUGGUUGA